Molecule: ribosomal RNA, 117 nt
Filed under: Carassius auratus (goldfish)
Lineage: Eukaryota; Metazoa; Chordata; Actinopteri; Cypriniformes; Cyprinidae
Source: RNAcentral
GCCAGCAGCCAUAUCACCCUGGAGCCCAAGACCGGUUGCCCACUGAAGCUAAGCAGGGCUGAGCCUGGUUAGUACCUGGAUGGGAGACCUCCUGAGAAAACUAGGUUGCUGCUGGAA